GGGUGUGAAGCGGUGAAUUUAAGCCCCAGUAAACGGCGGUGGUAACUAUAACCAUCCUAAGGUAGCGAAAUUCCUUGUCGGGUAAGUUCCGACCUGCACGAAUGGCGUAACGACUUCUCCGCUGUCUCAACCGCGAACUCGGUGAAAUUGCAGUACGAGUAAAGAUGCUCGUUUCGCGCAGAAGGACGGAAAGACCCCGGGACCUUUACUAUAGCUUGGUAUUGGUGUUCGCUUGGACUUGUGUAGGAUAGGUGGGAGACUGUGAAGCUGCCGCGCCAGCGGUGGUGGAGUCGUCGUUGAAAUACCAUUCUGGUUCAAGCGGUCACCUCAACCUUGGCCCGUGAUCCGGGUUGGGGACAGUGCCUGGUGGGUAGUUUAACUGGGGCGGUUGCCUCCUAAAAUGUAACGGAGGCGCUCAAAGGUUCCCUCAGCCUGGUUGGUAAUCAGGUGGCGAGUGCAAGUGUACAAGGGAGCUUGACUGUGAGACCGACGGGUCGAGCAGGUGCGAAAGCAGGAACUAGUGAUCCGGCCAUGGCACGUGGGUGCGUGGUCGCUCAACGGAUAAAAGGUACCCCGGGGAUAACAGGCUGAUCUUGCCCAAGAGUCCAUAUCGACGGCAUGGUUUGGCACCUCGAUGUCGGCUCGUCGCAUCCUGGGGCUGGAGUCGGUCCCAAGGGUUGGGCUGUUCGCCCAUUAAAGCGGUACGCGAGCUGGGUUCAGAACGUCGUGAGACAGUUCGGUCCCUAUCCUCUGUGCGCGCAGGAAAUUUGAGAAGGGCCGUCCCUAGUACGAGAGGACCGGGAUGGACGAACCUCUGGUGUGCCAGUUGUACCGCCAGGUGCAUGGCUGGUUGGCUACGUUCGGAAGGGAUAACCGCUGAAAGCAUCUAAGCGGGAAGCCUGCUUCAAGAUGAG
Molecule: ribosomal RNA, 914 nt
Filed under: human metagenome
Description: bacterial LSU rRNA
Rfam family: Bacterial large subunit ribosomal RNA
Source: RNAcentral